AACAUGGUGGAGUGAUCAUA
This 20-nucleotide small nuclear RNA is filed under the name Arabidopsis thaliana (thale cress). RNAcentral's name for it is "snRNA_05847". The record is from RNAcentral. Lineage: Eukaryota; Viridiplantae; Streptophyta; Magnoliopsida; Brassicales; Brassicaceae.